This is a long non-coding RNA of Cavia porcellus (domestic guinea pig), 1282 nucleotides long. RefSeq lists it as uncharacterized. Lineage: Eukaryota; Metazoa; Chordata; Mammalia; Rodentia; Caviidae. The record is from RefSeq and is a predicted model, not a curated record. The transcript is spliced from 5 exons.
UAUUCUAAUAUCAUCUUUUUCUUGGAUAUAUUUACCAAAAAGAAAACCAUGAUAAAUUAUAAUAACAGGGGGACAAAAACCCAUAGAAAGUAUUUUUUUUUUUUAAAGUGGGAGCUAAAUCUCUAUUCCAUCUCAAUUUACUGGACUAAACACUGGGCCCAGCUAAAAAUAAUCUUGAUCCUUGCAGGCUGGGGGCCAAGCUACGUUUGGCAGAACAGCACACGGAGUGGAAUGGGAUGGGGGCUCACAGCCUAGCAGGGACGGCUCCCAGCAGGCUGUUUAGGCCACUCCUGUGGUCAUCGACUCAGCCAUUUCCCCACAGCAGGCCUCCAGCAGAGCGCCGGGCCUCAGUCCAUUGGGAAGUGGAGGUGAGGGACAGGGAGUGAAGUCCACCGGCAGCAGGAUGGACACAAAGGAACCCAGAGAUGCUAAACCCUGGCUAGGACUUCCACCUCUGCCGGACCAAGAAGUCUGCUGGUCAUACGAGAAGGAGCAAUUGGCUGGAGAGGACCGGCUGGGAGCCGGCAGUGUGGGAGAGCUGUGCCCAGGGAGAAAGCUCUUACCUGUCCUCAUCCACUGCUGACAUCCAGUGACCUACCUUUUAAACCUCUGGGUCUCCUUCAAACCUCUUCAGAUGAAACUAGUUUUUACAACUCAAGCUGGAGAAUGGCUCUGCUUAUUUAGAACAGCCAAGAAUCAACAAAUCCUAACCUGAUGAUUCACAUCGAGGGGCUGUGGUUAAUCAGUCUCACUCACUGGCAAGCAGCCACCCGCUCUUUCCUAUCUGUAUGAAGCAAAAGCGUCCCAGUGGAUGAAUGGGAUGAACUGCUAACCUGCUUUGGAAGAGAAGGCCAGAACUAUGCUGUUAAUCAUAUGGUGGGAAGGCAGGACCACUGGCCUCUGUCUCCUGUGAGUCAUCAGUGAGGCCACCGAGUCCCGGGAGACUCCUGGAGGGUCCCAACUUUAAUACCACCCAGCCGUAGACUACCACCCAGAUGUUAAUACAGAUCACUUGCUCUAGGUCACACAGGGACGGAAUGAAGGUGGAAUUUUUACUGAGUCUACCUGUUUGCAAAGUCAGCCUCUGGCAGUGCCUGGGCGUCACUGAGAGUUGCAUAUGUGCAUGCAUAUUUUGAAAACGACACAUCAGGACAGAGUGUGCUGCCACCAUUCUGAACUUUGGGGGGAAAGGAGUCAUGUGAGUAGGUAUGUCACUGUGGGAGGCAGUGACCUGGGGCCGUCCCCCUUCACAUAUGGCUGCCAGGCCCUCAGCCACUCACCA